AGCAGCCGCGGUAAUUCCAGCUCCAAUAGCGUAUAUUAAAGUUGUUGCAGUUAAAAAGCUCGUAGUUGAAUUUCGGGGUCAGUAGGUUGGUCAUGCCUCCGGUAUGUACUGGUCUCACUGAUUCCUCCUUCCUGAUGAGCCGUAAUGCCAUUAAUUUGGUGUUGCGGGGAAUCUGGACUGUUACUUUGAAAAAAUUAGAGUAGUUUAAAGCAAGCUAACGCUUGAAUACAUUAGCAUGGAAUAAUGGAAUAGGACGUUCGAUCCUAUUUUGUUGGUUUCUAGGAUUGACGUAAUGAUUAAUAGGGAUAGUUGGGGGCAUUAGUAUUCAAUUGUCAGAGGUGAAAUUCUUGGAUUUAUUGAAGACUAACUACUGCGAAAGCAUUUGCCAAGGAUGUUUUCAUUAAUCAAGAACGAAAGUUAGGGGAUCGAAGACGAUCAGAUACCGUCGUAGUCUUAACCAUAAACUAUGCCGACUAGGGAUCGGAUGAUGUUAAUUUUUAAUGACUCAUUCGGCGCCUUA
This 520-nucleotide ribosomal RNA is filed under the name uncultured Glomus. RNAcentral's name for it is "SSU rRNA". It matches the Rfam family "Eukaryotic small subunit ribosomal RNA", at positions 569 to 1090 of the family's 1831-position model. The record is from RNAcentral. Lineage: Eukaryota; Fungi; Glomeromycota; Glomeromycetes; Glomerales; Glomeraceae.